This 373-nucleotide ribosomal RNA is filed under the name uncultured organism. Its description in RNAcentral is "partial 16S ribosomal RNA". It matches the Rfam family "Bacterial small subunit ribosomal RNA", at positions 527 to 896 of the family's 1533-position model. The record is from RNAcentral.
GUAGGUGGCAAGCGUUGUCCGGAAUUAUUGGGCGUAAAGCGCGCGCAGGCGGUCCUUUAAGUCUGAUGUGAAAGCCCACGGGCUCAACCGUGGAGGGUCAUUGGAAACUGGGGGACUUGAGUACAGAAGAGGAAAGCGGAAUUCCAAGUGUAGCGGUGAAAUGCGUAGAGAUUUGGAGGAACACCAGUGGCGAAGGCGGCUUUCUGGUCUGCAACUGACGCUGAGGCGCGAAAGCGUGGGGAGCAAACAGGAUUAGAUACCCUGGUAGUCCACGCCGUAAACGAUGAGUGCUAAGUGUUAGGGGGUUUCCGCCCCUUAGUGCUGCAGCUAACGCAUUAAGCACUCCGCCUGGGGAGUACGGCCGCAAAGGCUG